This 1430-nucleotide long non-coding RNA is filed under the name Vulpes vulpes (red fox). RNAcentral's name for it is "lncRNA (ENSVVUG00000029568.1)". Lineage: Eukaryota; Metazoa; Chordata; Mammalia; Carnivora; Canidae. The record is from RNAcentral.
GGGCGGGACAGGAUCCCCAAGCCGACUCCCCGCUGAGCCGGGAGCCCCACGGCCUCCAUCCCAGGACCCUGACGCCGUGACCUGAGCCCAGACCAAGAGGGGACACUCAGCCCACUGAGUGAGCGGUGGCCCCGCGGCUUCAGAGGGUCGCCAACCUAGGGCACAGCCCAGGGGGAGGGAGACCCCAUUGCCUGGGGGAGGCCCACCGGGGGGCACCUUCCGGCCUCUGGCAGGAGUUCGCCGCCCGGUGCAGGGGAGGCCCAGGAAGCCCUUGCCGUCACCGAAGCCCGUGGGCACCCCGCUGUCGUCCCCCAGGCUGGGUGGCAGCAGGUUCCCGGCUCCCAGGGCCCCACCCAGGGGCUCCGGCCUGCCCCCACCCCGUCUUCUCCUCCUCCCGCGUGGGGGGACCGGCCGCCCUGAGGCAGGGGUCCCCUCUGUGUGCACACAGGCCUGCUCCCGGCCUCCCCCACUGCCCUGGCCUCCCCGCCAUCCAGCCUCCCCGGCGGCUGCCAAGUGGGCAGGGGCAGCAGGUGCGGAGGACAGGCCCCAGGGGCACAGCCCAGGUGGGGGCGGCCCGGCUGGGGGUGGCAGGGCCGCGGGCAGGGGCACAGAGGAGCGGGUGUCGGCCCGUCCUUGCUCCAGAGAGGUGCCACCGCGGGGACUCGCACGGGACUCCCCGGUGACACGCUCCCACUCGCUCGGCAGCUCUGCUGUGUCAUGCAGCUUCCGGGGGCCGCUUCUCCUGCUGGCUGUCGCUGCGGGGCCCCUGGUGGCCGCCCUGUGCCCGUCAAGCCCGAGGACGGCGGGUGUCUCUGGAGCCGGUUGGGCUCCCCGGGCGCAGAGGCACAGGCCACGGUGCUGGCUGGGCCUGCCCCUUGCCUCGUGGACGUGCUCGGGCUCCCGGGGACACCCGUCAGCAGGGGCAGGGCCGCGGGGUCCUGAGAGGGCUCCCCGGACACACCGAGGCCCCUGGAUCCACAGCCCCGGGCCACGCGCGAUCUCACCAUCCGCAGGCCUGUCCCUCGGAGGCCUGGUGGGUGCUCAGCCCUCCCUCCCCCCGUGAACAGGCGCUCCCCCUGGUGGCCGCCCUGGGAGUGGCCGGCAGGUCCCCACGCCCCCCCCCAGGGGCCAGCCUCUCUCCCCGCCUCGUGUGCUGGCCUGUCCUCUGCAGGGUGCUGAUCCAGGGCAAAGGCAGCCGCCCCCACUGUGCAGGGCUCCCCUCACCCUCCGCCGCCCCUGGCUGCGGCCUCAGGGUGGCUCAGUGACACCUUCGGGGACGGUCCCGCGGGUAGUGGCGGAGGCUGGCCCCGUCACCCAAUCUCUGAGCGGGUGGGGCGGGGGCUGCUGGGUGACGCGCCCCUGGAGGCACCUGCCCCCGAGGAGGAGACCCCGCCCUCCGGGGGGCCUGCCCGCAGCCGGCCUGGGCCCAG